Molecule: long non-coding RNA, 1001 nt
Filed under: Panax ginseng (ginseng)
Lineage: Eukaryota; Viridiplantae; Streptophyta; Magnoliopsida; Apiales; Araliaceae
Description: long non-coding RNA (PGIN_LNC007419)
Source: RNAcentral
CAAGUACAUAUUAAUUCAUUUCUAGGGUUUAGGAAUUUUGUAAUCCCAUAUUUUCUCUAUUCUCAUUCGAAUAGCAAACCAUAUAGGUUUUACUUGAAAAUUUUAAAUAAAUCCUCAAAUUCUCAUCUAGGUUUUAUUCUUUAACCUUUAUUCUAAUCAUUUAAGAUUUUAGAAAUUUUCGGGUUAUCACAUUCACCCCUUCUUCUAAGAAUUUCGUCCUCGAAAUUAAAGCAUACUAAUCUCUGCUUAUUCUCGUAUUCAUAACUAGGUUUUCAACUUAACCUUUACAAUUUCCUCCUUUGAGGAUUUCUCUUUCUAUCAUCACAUUUCACCAUAACUACUCACUAGAAGUUUACAUCUUCUAAACAUUCUUCAAAACUAGGUUGUCGUAAUAACCUUUAUUCAAUCAUCUCAGAUUCUACUCGUACACAACGAGUUUACAUUAUUUCAUAUCAAUCAUCACGUUCUACCACAACAUUACUCUGAAGGGUUUAAAAAAAAACUUUUCAUAUCUGUCUAAGGGAUCAUAAAAAUUUUGAACUUUGAGGUUUAAGGGUAUUUCUACCUGCUACCUCUUUCCAUUACGAAAGAAAGGUACUCUACCUCUGAAACAUUUCUUUAAUAGGUGUGUUUACAAUCACAAAGAAGGUAAACUACCGAUGCUGGUACUUUAGAUGAUCAGUCUAUUGUACCUUAGUAAUCUGAACGACUAUAUGCGUCCUUAGAUUGGAAUAUUUUAUCCAAAUAGUAUAUCCCCAUUUUCAGGGUUGUUCACCUCAGACUUAUCAUAAGAUUCCUCACCAAAACAAUUUGGUUCGGCAUAAGCUUUUAAAGAAUACUUUGAAUUUUCAUAUACAUUUGUCUAGCUAAAUCAAAUAGCUUAGACACAUAUCAAUAAUUCGAAUUUCAAUCGAAAUAUUUCUGGCCAAAUUCAGUUGGCAUAAAUUAUCUUUAAAAUUCUUAAAAUCAUUUUGACGUCAUGAUACCGCACUGUAUAUANN